UGAGGAAUAUUGGUCAAUGGGCGCGAGCCUGAACCAGCCAAGUCGCGUGAGGGAUGACCGGCCCUACGGGUUGUAAACCUCUUUUGUCGGGGAGCAAAUUCCGCCACGUGUGGCGGAGUCGAGAGUACCCGAAGAAAAAGCAUCGGCUAACUCCGUGCC
This 159-nucleotide ribosomal RNA is filed under the name uncultured bacterium. RNAcentral's name for it is "partial 16S ribosomal RNA". It matches the Rfam family "Bacterial small subunit ribosomal RNA", at positions 355 to 509 of the family's 1533-position model. The record is from RNAcentral.